This 252-nucleotide ribosomal RNA is filed under the name uncultured bacterium. RNAcentral describes it as "partial 16S ribosomal RNA". It matches the Rfam family "Bacterial small subunit ribosomal RNA", at positions 524 to 776 of the family's 1533-position model. The record is from RNAcentral.
UACGUAGGUCCCGAGCGUCGUCCGGAUUUAUUGGGCGUAAAGCGAGCGCAGGUGGUUUAUUAAGUCUGGUGUAAAAGGCAGUGGCUCAACCAUUGUAUGCAUUGGAAACUGGUAGACUUGAGUGCAGGAGAGGAGAGUGGAAUUCCAUGUGUAGCGGUGAAAUGCGUAGAUAUAUGGAGGAACACCGGUGGCGAAAGCGGCUCUCUGGCCUGUAACUGACACUGAGGCUCGAAAACGUGGGGAGCAAACAGG